This 280-nucleotide long non-coding RNA is filed under the name Homo sapiens (human). RNAcentral describes it as "non-protein coding lnc-TMEM229B-2:1". The record is from RNAcentral. Lineage: Eukaryota; Metazoa; Chordata; Mammalia; Primates; Hominidae.
CUGCUUCCUGGGCGCCGUGGGCGCGGACUGCGCGGGCUGCGCGGGUGCCGAGGAGCGCGAGGCGCGGGGAAGGCGCACCUGGGGUGGCCCUGGCGUGCGGGCGGCGACAUGGAGGACGGCGUGCUCAAGGAGGGCUUCCUGGUCAAGAGGUUUCUUUCAAGAUUUAAAACCAGAGAAAUGGCCAAAUAGGAACUAGAAGGGCCACAUUGUCCACAACUGGAAGGCGCGAUGGUUCAUCCUUCGGCAGAACACGCUGGUGUACUACAAGCUUGAGGGGGGU